Molecule: ribosomal RNA, 253 nt
Filed under: uncultured bacterium
Lineage: Bacteria
Description: partial 16S ribosomal RNA
Rfam family: Bacterial small subunit ribosomal RNA
Source: RNAcentral
UACGGAGGAGGCAAGCGUUGUUCGGAAUUACUGGGCGUAAAGGGCGCGUAGGCGGUUCGUUAAGUCCUGUGUGAAAUCCCCCGGCUCAACUGGGGAACUGCACAGGAAACUAGCGGGCUUGAGUUCGGGAGAGGGAAGCGGAAUUCCGGGUGUAGCGGUGAAAUGCGUAGAUAUCCGGAGGAACACCGGUGGCGAAGGCGGCUUCCUGGACCGACACUGACGCUGAGGCGCGAAAGCUAGGGGAGCAAACGGG